This 1317-nucleotide long non-coding RNA is filed under the name Equus caballus (horse). Its description in RNAcentral is "lncRNA (ENSECAG00000048201.1)". The record is from RNAcentral. Lineage: Eukaryota; Metazoa; Chordata; Mammalia; Perissodactyla; Equidae.
GGACCUGACAAAGGCCAGAUGCUGUGGAGGACACUAAAAUCAGCCCCAGAUUUACCCUGGGGUUGGGAAGCAUGGAGGAACACCAUCUGCUAGCUUUCCACCUCUAUUAAAUUGCUGCCACAGUGAGUUGCUGCUAACUAGUGAAAUGGACUCAUUUGAGUCUGCGUUCUUUCUCCUUCCUUGUCCUCUCAUGGCAGUGAGUGUGAUUAGUGAACGCAUAGAGGUCAGGCUCCAGAAAGUUCUAGAGUAUGGGAGGUUGAGUCUGGAGCACUGAUCAAGCAUCAUCAGAACCCAAGACUCUUCAGUGCUUGGAAGAGUCAGUCAGGAGAUUCUGACACUUUUAAAAUUCAAAUUAAUUACACUGUGAUUCUUUAUUUUCAAAAUUAAGGAAGCUGGCAAAAAAAUGACAUUCCAAUAAGGUGGAAUGAAAUAGAAACGGAAAAUUAGAACCAAAGAAAAUGAGUCCAAGGAUAUGCUAAUUGUAAGUAAUUUGCCUUGAUUAAGACUUAAAUUUGGCUCCAGCCUUCAUGGAAGCCCAGAGAAAGGGAAAUAGGACAAGUUGCAUGUUCUUCACAGGUCCUUGGAGGAGACAAAGCUGAUCAAGCACCAAGUCAGAGGAUGGGAUUUUUAAGGGGCUGUAAUGAAAAGAUUUUUGCAUUCCCCCUCCUGGAUUCCUCCUUAAAAGAGGGACCCAUGGCAAAUUACUAACCCUUGGUAGUACAGUCCAGUUUCCUCCUCAUUCUCAAAUGGGGUUAAUAGUAACUACUCUGCAGGUUGUUGGGAGGAUUAAAUGAGAGGCUUGGUAGAGAGUACAUUUGCAUGACUGUUAGUUGGAAUCAACCUAACUUCUAUUGGUGGAGGAAUGGUUAAAUGAAGUAUGAUACACUUUUAUCAUAACAUAGCGCAUCCUUCCUCAUGCUUCACCCCUCCCAACCCCACACGCCGUCAAUGACUCUGCAGUUUCUCCCAGGAAAGGCAGAGUAUAUUUCCUCACCCGACUAGUAUUGAACUUGGCCAUGUGAUUUGCUUUGGCCAAUGAAAUGGGGACAGAAGUGACAAUGUACUGAGCCCAGACCUAGGGGCAUUAUGUAUUUCCUUUGACCCCUCUUGAGAGUCUGCCAUCACCAUAAGACUAUGAUCUGCUAGUUUUUUUGGUCCAAGGAUGAUAACAAACACACGGAGCAGACUGGACCCAACCUGAACUUCAGAACCCAGAUGAGCCCAGCUGACUGAGACCCUCAGUGUGAGCGGAAAAAAAGGAAAAAGGAAAAUAUGGUUAAAAGCCAUGGAAUAUCAAUCAGUCAAACUUUAUCGGGC